UACGUAGGGUGCGAGCGUUGUCCGGAAUUAUUGGGCGUAAAGAGCUUGUAGGCGGUCUGUCGCGUCUGCUGUGAAAAUCCGGGGCUCAACCCCGGGCCUGCAGUGGGUACGGGCAGACUAGAGUGCGGUAGGGGAGACUGGAAUUCCUGGUGUAGCGGUGAAAUGCGCAGAUAUCAGGAGGAACACCGGUGGCGAAGGCGGGUCUCUGGGCCGUAACUGACGCUGAGGAGCGAAAGCGUGGGGAGCGAACAGG
RNAcentral lists this ribosomal RNA (253 nucleotides) under uncultured bacterium. RNAcentral's name for it is "partial 16S ribosomal RNA". It matches the Rfam family "Bacterial small subunit ribosomal RNA", at positions 524 to 776 of the family's 1533-position model. The record is from RNAcentral.